Long non-coding RNA from Lutra lutra (Eurasian river otter), 470 nucleotides. RefSeq lists it as uncharacterized. Lineage: Eukaryota; Metazoa; Chordata; Mammalia; Carnivora; Mustelidae. The record is from RefSeq and is a predicted model, not a curated record. The transcript is spliced from 2 exons.
UCACACACAUGCUGGGAUCCACAAAUGUGUCAUAAGCCCACCGGUUGGUGCAGAACAGCAGCAGCUGAAGGCGAUUUAACACAGGGGGUCAUGAGGAAAUGCUGCCAUUGUUCCGAAAGUACUCUGGACGGGGACAUGAGAAGACAAACAAACAGAUAGGUCUUGCACGUACGGACGAAGGAAAUGCAGAACACGUCUGGGUGAAUUCCUCUACGCUGAGAACAUAACUGCAGAGGGAACCUGUGGUCAUCGGAGGAGGGGGCAGGCGCUCUAGUCAAGGCUUCUGAGCAACUGGCAAGGUGUCUGGACGCUGAGUCCACCCCACGGAUGUUCGGACGGGAAGCCGAGACUCAGGAUGGCUCACGGUUGGCCUGAGGGCCCGAGAGUGAACAAGAGAGUCAGAAUCGGAAGUCAGGCUCCCUCCGUGUGUCUAGCUGCUCGUAUAAUUUUACAGAAUUGAAAGUGGAGGG